RNAcentral lists this ribosomal RNA (158 nucleotides) under uncultured Saccharomyces. RNAcentral's name for it is "partial 26S ribosomal RNA". It matches the Rfam family "Eukaryotic large subunit ribosomal RNA", at positions 62 to 217 of the family's 3401-position model. Lineage: Eukaryota; Fungi; Ascomycota; Saccharomycetes; Saccharomycetales; Saccharomycetaceae. The record is from RNAcentral.
AAACCAACCGGGAUUGCCUUAGUAACGGCGAGUGAAGCGGCAAAAGCUCAAAUUUGAAAUCUGGCACCUUCGGUGCCCGAGUUGUAAUUUGGAGAGGGCAACUUUGGGGCCGUUCCUUGUUUAUGUUCCCUUGGACCAGGACGUCAUAGAGGGUGAGA